This 438-nucleotide ribosomal RNA is filed under the name uncultured soil bacterium. Its description in RNAcentral is "bacterial SSU rRNA". It matches the Rfam family "Bacterial small subunit ribosomal RNA", at positions 26 to 491 of the family's 1533-position model. The record is from RNAcentral.
AGAUUGAACGCUGGCGGCAUGCCUAACACAUGCAAGUCGAACGGGAGUAGCAAUACUCUAGUGGCGGACGGGUGAGGAAUACGUAGGAAUUUGCCCUUAAGUGGGGGAUAACCCGGGGAAACCCGGAUUAAUACCGCAUGACCUCGAAAGAGCAAAGUGGGGGAUCGCAAGACCUCACGCUUUUGGAGAAGCCUACGUCGGAUUAGCUAGUUGGUGAGGUAAUGGCUCACCAAGGCGACGAUCCGUAACUGGUCUGAGAGGAUGAUCAGUCACACCGGAACUGAGACACGGUCCGACUCCUACGGGAGGCAGCAGUGGGAAUAUGGACAAUGGCGCAAGCUGAUCCAGCAAUGCCGCGUGUGUGAAGAAGCCGUUACGGUUGUAAAGUCAACUUUAAGUUAGGGUAAAGAAAAACUAACGACGUACUAACCAACACGU